Non-coding RNA from Pelobates cultripes (western spadefoot toad), 204 nucleotides. NCBI's taxonomy places the organism in Eukaryota, Metazoa, Chordata, Amphibia, Anura, Pelobatidae. The record is from the annotation of a GenBank genome assembly.
GACAGAGGUAACCCUGAGGUUCAUGAAAUUAUAUAGAGACAGAAAGAGACCAUCAGAGAAAGGAGAUACAGAGAGACGGAUGAAUACUGCAUUAUGAGCAAACUUCAGAAAUACACAUAUUCUGCUGCAGCCAGAUCCACUUCACAGGAAUGUCUGAUCUACUCUCUUCGGAGUCAUGUGAAGUAUAUGGUCAGUCAGUGUAUA